GGAUUAGGCAUGCAAGUCGCACGAGAAAGGCUUCUUCGGAAGCCGAGUAAAGUGGCGAACGGGUGAGUAAUGCAUAGACAACUCGCCCUUGAGAUGGGGACAACGCCUCGAAAGGGGUGCUAAUACCCAAUGCCGCCUUGGGCCUGCGGGUCCAGGGUGAAAGGAGGCCUCUGAUUCAAGCUUCCGCUCAAGGAGAGGUUUAUGUCCUAUUAGCUAGUUGGCGGGGUAACGGCCCACCAAGGCUGCGAUGGGUAGCCGACCUGAGAGGGUGACCGGCCACAUUGGGACUGAGACACUGCCCAGACUCCUACGGGAGGCUGCAGUCGAGAAUCUUCCGCAAUGCGCGCAAGCGUGACGGAGCGACGCCGCGUGGGUGAUGAAGGCCUUCGGGUUGUAAAACCCUGUCAGCUACUACGAGACACGGGCGAUGAACAAUCGUCCCGUCUGACUUAAGUAGCAGAGGAAGCACCGGCUAACUACGUGCCAGCAGCCGCGGUAAUACGUAGGGUGCGAACGUUGUUCGGAAUCACUGGGCAUAAAGGGCGCGUAGGCGGUCUGAUAAGUCAGGUGUGAAAUCCCUCGGCCUAACCGAGGAACUGCAUUUGAUACUGUCGGGCUAGAGUACAGGAGGGGAGAGUGGAAUUCCUGGUGGAGCGGUGAAAUGCGUAGAUAUCAGGAGGAACGCCGGCGGCGAAAGCGACUCUCUGGCCUGUUACUGACGCUGAGGCGCGAAAGCUAGGGGAGCAAACGGGGAUUAGAUACCCCGGUAGUCCUAGCCCUAAACGAUGGGCACUAAGUAGAGGGGUUUU
This 809-nucleotide ribosomal RNA is filed under the name uncultured Planctomycetota bacterium. RNAcentral's name for it is "bacterial SSU rRNA". It matches the Rfam family "Bacterial small subunit ribosomal RNA", at positions 46 to 832 of the family's 1533-position model. Lineage: Bacteria; Pseudomonadati; Planctomycetota. The record is from RNAcentral.